RNAcentral lists this transfer-messenger RNA (406 nucleotides) under Candidatus Nomurabacteria bacterium. It matches the Rfam family "transfer-messenger RNA". Rfam says of the family: Bacterial tmRNA, also known as 10Sa RNA or SsrA, is named for its dual tRNA and mRNA-like properties. Its role is to liberate the mRNA from a stalled ribosome. RNAcentral also lists the same sequence under 1 other name. The record is from RNAcentral. Lineage: Bacteria; Candidatus Nomuraibacteriota.
GGGGCUGAUUUAGCUUUCGACGAGAGGACUUUAACAAGUUAUUUCGCGAGUCGAUUAUGCACGUCAAGCAUUUAAUAAUUGCAACAAAACUUGCAUCUGCAUGGGUUAACUUGAAGCAGACACUUGCUAGCGCAUUUGUCACACCUCAGUUUGCCAUGCAAACAGCCUAACUUAUUUUAGGCCGCCACAUCAGAUAGGUGACGCAUCUGAUCCGUGGUGUCAUAUUUUCGUCACUUACUUACCUUAGGCGCAGUGGCCAAGGGACAAGGAAAAUUUCCACGCGAUGAGAAAACUUUUUUUGUUUGCCUUUGAAGUUUUUGAAUCGUAAAUAUCAAGGUAAACUAUGCUCGUAGAAGAAUAACUGGUUACCUUUCGGACCGGGGGGCGGUUCCCCGCAGCUCCACCA